Molecule: ribosomal RNA, 117 nt
Filed under: uncultured bacterium
Lineage: Bacteria
Description: partial 16S ribosomal RNA
Source: RNAcentral
AGUUUUUCUUGGUGUAUAAAAGCAGUUUACAACCCAUAGGGCCGUCAUCCUGCACGCGGGAUGGCUGGUUCAGGCUUGCGCCCAUUGACCAAUAUUCCUCACUGCUGCCUCCCGUAG